GCCCUCAUAGCUCAAUGGAUAGAGCAAUCCCGUCCUAAGGGAAAGAUCUGGGUUCGAUUCCUGGUGGGGGCA
RNAcentral lists this transfer RNA (72 nucleotides) under Minisyncoccota bacterium. RNAcentral describes it as "tRNA-Arg". It matches the Rfam family "tRNA". From Rfam's summary of the family: Transfer RNA (tRNA) molecules are approximately 80 nucleotides in length. Their secondary structure includes four short double-helical elements and three loops (D, anti-codon, and T loops). Further hydrogen bonds mediate the characteristic L-shaped molecular structure. tRNAs have two regions of fundamental functional importance: the anti-codon, which is responsible for specific mRNA codon recognition, and the 3' end, to which the tRNAs corresponding amino acid is attached (by aminoacyl-tRNA synthetases). tRNAs cope with the degeneracy of the genetic code in two manners: having more than one tRNA (with a specific anti-codon) for a particular amino acid; and 'wobble' base-pairing, i.e. permitting non-standard base-pairing at the 3rd anti-codon position. Lineage: Bacteria; Bacillati; Minisyncoccota. The record is from RNAcentral.